Molecule: small RNA, 711 nt
Filed under: Pan troglodytes (chimpanzee)
Lineage: Eukaryota; Metazoa; Chordata; Mammalia; Primates; Hominidae
Description: processed transcript
Source: RNAcentral
UUCUUUUCGGAGCUGAAAACAGAGUGACAAGGAGUCUACCAUUUUAAUAACUGGGCACAGAGUAUUCCAGGCAGAGGACACAGCACAGGCAAAGGGCCAGCAGUGGGAAUAAUCCUGGCAGGUUCAAGGAAUGGAAAGCCCAAGAUCUUCCUUGACUUGUCCCCACUGCCUGAAACAGAGCAACACCUUUGAUCCUUUCCUGUGUGUGUCCCUACCUAUCCCCUUGCGCCAGACGAGGUUCUUGAGUGUCACCUUGGUCUUCCCCUCUAAGAGCCAGCGGUUCCUGCGGGUUGGCUUGGCCGUGCCAAUCCUCAGCACAGUGGCAGCCCUGAGGAAGAUGGUUGCAGAGGAAGGAGGCGUCCCUGCAGAUGAGGUGAUCUUGGUUGAACUGUAUCCCAGUGGAUUCCAGCGGUCUUUCUUUGAUGAAGAGGACCUGAAUACCAUCGCAGAGGGAGAUAAUGUGUAUGCCUUUCAAGUUCCUCCCUCACCCAGCCAGGGGACUCUCUCAGCUCAUCCACUGGGUCUGUCGGCCUCCCCACGCCUGGCAGCCCGUGAGGGCCAGCGAUUCUCCCUCUCUCUCCACAGUGAGAGCAAGGUGCUAAUCCUCUUCUGUAACUUGGUGGGGUCAGGGCAGCAGGCUAGCAGGUUUGGGCCACCCUUCCUGAUAAGGGAAGACAGAGCUGUUUCCUGGGCCCAGCUCCAGCAGUCUAU